This 479-nucleotide ribosomal RNA is filed under the name uncultured bacterium. RNAcentral describes it as "partial 16S ribosomal RNA". It matches the Rfam family "Bacterial small subunit ribosomal RNA", at positions 28 to 523 of the family's 1533-position model. The record is from RNAcentral.
GACGAACGCUGGCGGCGUGCUUAACACAUGCAAGUCGAACGGUGACACGAGAGCUUGCUCUCGUUGAUCAGUGGCGAACGGGUGAGUAACACGUUAGCAACCUACCCUUGACUCCGGGAUAACAGUUGGAAACAGCUGCUAAUACCAGCUACGCACUCAGCAGGCACCUGCCGAGUUGUAAAGCUCCCACGGUCAAGGAUGGGCUCGCGGCCUAUCAGCUUGUUGGUGAGGUAACGGCUCACCAAGGCGACGACGGGUAGCCGGCCUGAGAGGGCGACCGGCCACACUGGGACUGAGAUACGGCCCAGACUCCUACGGGAGGCAGCAGUGGGGAAUAUUGCGCAAUGGGCGAAAGCCUGACGCAGCAACGCCGCGUGCGGGAUGACGGCCUUCGGGUUGUAAACCGCUUUCAGCAGGGACGAAACUGACGGUACCUGCAGAAGAAGCACCGGCUAACUACGUGCCAGCAGCCGCAGUAA